Molecule: long non-coding RNA, 1330 nt
Filed under: Homo sapiens (human)
Lineage: Eukaryota; Metazoa; Chordata; Mammalia; Primates; Hominidae
Description: HSALNT0215417
Source: RNAcentral
GGCGUGCAGGCCGGAUGUUAGGGGGGCAACCUCGAGGCCCGAUGGUGGCUUCGACCCCAGGGCGGACCUGCGCCUACCCUCAGCCCCUGCAACUGCGGGUCAGGAGAAAGGGACCUGCCAUGGCGAAGAAAACCGAAUCUUCUCCAAUUAGGCUUCUCCUUAAAGAGAGAAAAAGCAGAUGACCACGUCCCAAGACACAAUGUUCCAUGUGGCAAGCACUGCCUUUCAGUCAGCACAGUGAGGGCAUAUCCCCAUUUGAUGAGCCGGCCAAAAGUCUAAGUAGAGACCCUCGGUGAACAGGAAGCCCGGAGGGGCUGACCUUCGUGACUCCCUCCACAGGCCCUGGGAAAAAUAUCAGAGGCCAGAAUUCAACCCUCUCACUACAAAACGGUUAAACCAAGACUGUUGGGUCUUGACUAAGCCAGAGAUUGACCCAAUUCUCCGGACAGUUAUGCAAUCGUUUGCAGCACAAAAACGCAAUGUCCUACCUGUGAGAGAUAUUCUUCUUCUCAGUCCCAUUCUACAGAUGGAAAAAACUGAGGCCAAGAAAGAGUAAGUGACCACACCAAGCACUUCUCCUAGGAAAUGGCAGAACUGGAACACUACAGAUAACGCAGCACCUCUUCUGAACCCACUGCAGAUCUGAGAGAUUGUGUCAAUUCUUCCCAUCCACUUGGGUUGGUUUUUCAGUUGGCUAUCCUUCUGCCGAGAUACCUGAAUCCCAACCCUCAUCCCUGUGGAAUUUGAAAGUGGAUUUUCUGAACCUUUGAUUAAAAUAUACAGUUUUUAGUUUUGGGGUGGUUGAGUUUUUGGUGGUUUUUUUCGCUUGUUUCUUUUGGUUUUGUUGUUUUUGCUGUCUCAUCUCCCCAAGAGAAAAACAGCUCCAGAACAGGAAGGACUCCCUCGAGAAGCACCUCGGAGGGAUGGGGUUAAGCCAGCAGGUGUGCCGGUCUUGGCAUUCAAGGCAAGCCAAAGUACUGGAUCUGACGGGUUUUAUUGUUUUAAGAGGUACAAGUUCACAGCUUCCUGAAUGGAAGUCUCUUCAUUUCUUGGAGCCAAGCUUAAAUGCCUUUAAAAUCUUGGCCUGCCGUUAUCCUGUAGCUGUUAAUUAAGCUUUGAAAACUUUACAUUAUGUUUACAGUGCACUGUGCGAAUUGCAAAAUAAAUUAGAACCCGAGGCAAAGAAAUUGGAGUUUUCAAUAAAUGGAACAAAAACCGGAGAGAGUCGCUUUUUAGAUAAUGUGAGACUCGCUAUUUCUCACUCUGAUAUUUCUUUCUAAGGGGGAAAAUGGACUUUGAAAAAAUAAACUUUUGCUUCAAAAUGUAACAC